GACGAACGCUGGCGGCGUGCUUAACACAUGCAAGUCGAACGGAAAGGCCCUGCUUUUGUGGGGUGCUCGAGUGGCGAACGGGUGAGUAACACGUGAGUAACCUGCCCUUGACUUUGGGAUAACUUCAGGAAACUGGGGCUAAUACCGGAUAGGAGCUCCUGCUGCAUGGUGGGGGUUGGAAAGUUUCGGCGGUUGGGGAUGGACUCGCGGCUUAUCAGCUUGUUGGUGGGGUAGUGGCUUACCAAGGCUUUGACGGGUAGCCGGCCUGGGAGGGUGACCGGCCACAUUGGGACUGAGAUACGGCCCGGACUCCUACGGGAGGCAGCGGUGGGGAAUAUUGCACAAUGGGCGGAAGCCUGAUGCAGCAACGCCGCGUGCGGGAUGACGGCCUUCGGGUUGUAAACCGCUUUCGCCUGUGACGAAGCGUGAGUGACGGUAAUGGGUAAAGAAGCACCGGCUAACUACGUG
RNAcentral lists this ribosomal RNA (468 nucleotides) under uncultured bacterium. RNAcentral's name for it is "partial 16S ribosomal RNA". It matches the Rfam family "Bacterial small subunit ribosomal RNA", at positions 28 to 507 of the family's 1533-position model. The record is from RNAcentral.